RNAcentral lists this ribosomal RNA (253 nucleotides) under uncultured bacterium. RNAcentral describes it as "partial 16S ribosomal RNA". It matches the Rfam family "Bacterial small subunit ribosomal RNA", at positions 524 to 776 of the family's 1533-position model. The record is from RNAcentral.
UACGUAGGGGGCAAGCGUUGUCCGGAAUCAUUGGGCGUAAAGCGCACGUAGGCGGCUUCUUAAGUCGGUGGUGAAAUCCUGGAGCUCAACUCCAGAACUGCCUUCGAUACUGGGAAGCUCGAGUCCGGGAGAGGUGAGUGGAACUGCGAGUGUAGAGGUGAAAUUCGUAGAUAUUCGCAAGAACACCAGUGGCGAAGGCGGCUCACUGGCCCGGUACUGACGCUGAGGUGCGAAAGCGUGGGGAGCAAACAGG